Molecule: ribosomal RNA, 392 nt
Filed under: uncultured bacterium
Lineage: Bacteria
Description: partial 16S ribosomal RNA
Rfam family: Bacterial small subunit ribosomal RNA
Source: RNAcentral
ACACGUAAGUUGCGAGCGUUGUUCGGAAUUAUUGGGCGUAAAGGGCAUGUAGGCGGUCUUGCAAGUCUGGUGUAAAAUGGUUGUGCUCAACACAAUCAUGCGCUGGAAACUGUACGGCUAGAGUCAACGAGGGGAUGCCGGAAUUCCAGGUGUAGGGGUGAAAUCUGUAGAUAUCUGGAAGAACACCGAUGGCGAAGGCAGGGAUCGGGCGACUGACUGACGCUGAGGCGCGAAGGUGCGGGGAGCAAACAGGUUUAGAUACCCUGGUAGUCCGCACAGUAAACGAUGUGCACCAGGUGGCGGGCAGCAGUGCUCGGUACCGAAGCAAACGCAUUAAGUGCACCGCCUGGGGAGUAUGCCCGCAAGGGUGAAACUCAAAUGAAUUGGCGGGG